This 368-nucleotide long non-coding RNA is filed under the name Nicotiana benthamiana. RNAcentral describes it as "long non-coding RNA (NBEN_LNC036646)". Lineage: Eukaryota; Viridiplantae; Streptophyta; Magnoliopsida; Solanales; Solanaceae. The record is from RNAcentral.
GUUUCCAUUCCCAUUAUGACACAACUCUUCUUCCUCUCUGGACUGAUUCUGCUUAGAUCUAUGACAUCCAAGUUCUGAUCCUUCAGGUUGUUGACCAGCUACCAAGCAUUGUUCAGGUGCAGAAGCCUCUUGUUGAGGUGAACCCGUCUGCAUGAUUUGAACUCCAACGGAAUUCCUGUCGACUGGAGCACUUCCUGCUUCUGUAACCUCAUUCAAGGAACUCUUGAGGUGAACCCGUCUGCAUGAUUUGAAUUCCAACGGAAUUCCUGUCGACUAGAGCACUUCCUGCUUCUGUAACCUCAUUCAAGGAACUCCUCCCAUUCUCAUUGUGGCAUAAUUGCUCAUUCUUAUCCUCUCGAGAUUGAUGC